CUUCUUGGUCCCUUCUUUGGUACCUCUAUGGGAAAGCAAAUGAAGAGCUUCCUGAAGGACUAUUCAUGUCACCAACUACAUCCCAUCAGGAGGCUUGCCGCUAUGUUGCAACGGAUCUUACAGCACAAUUGUGUCUGCGGAUUGUACUUUGGCUUGAAGGACUU
Hordeum vulgare subsp. vulgare (domesticated barley) is the source of this 164-nucleotide long non-coding RNA. RefSeq lists it as uncharacterized. The record is from RefSeq and is a predicted model, not a curated record. Lineage: Eukaryota; Viridiplantae; Streptophyta; Magnoliopsida; Poales; Poaceae. The transcript is spliced from 3 exons.